AAUCAACGCUGGCGGCGUGCCUCAGACAUGCAAGUCGAACGCGAAAGUCCCCUUCGGGGGACAAGUAGAGUGGCGCACGGGUGAGUAACACGUAGGUAAUCUACCUUCGGAUGGGGAAUAACAACCGGAAACGGUUGCUAAUACCGCAUAAUGCAGCGGCACCUAAUGGUGACAGUUGUUAAAGCGGGGGAUCGAAAGACCCCGCGUCUGAAGAGGAGCCUGCGGCGGAUUAGCUAGUUGGAGGGUAAUGGCUUACCAAGGCGACGAUCCGUAGCCGGCCUGAGAGGGCGGGUCGGCCACACUGACACUGACAUACGGGUCAGACUCCUACGGGAGGCAGCA
RNAcentral lists this ribosomal RNA (342 nucleotides) under uncultured bacterium. RNAcentral's name for it is "bacterial SSU rRNA". It matches the Rfam family "Bacterial small subunit ribosomal RNA", at positions 32 to 353 of the family's 1533-position model. The record is from RNAcentral.